CAGCAUCACUCAGAGCCUCCCAGGCUGUGAACGUUUUAUUGUAUUUAUCCCUGAAGCGUGCACAUGUGCAAGCAGAGGAUCAGCACUCGCUGAGUUUAGCUCCUUCCCUACAACAGCACGUACGCAGUCAGCAGAAAGAAAGCACCCAUCUCACGAACUAAAAUAAGCACUGUAGACUUUUCCCAUUUCAAGCUGCAGCUAUCACAGUCCUGAGCUGCUGCUGCUCAUCAGAAUGAGUGAAGCACAAGAAAGAUGUAACAAAUCAAUAUAUUAAAUUCAGCCCAGGGAAUGAGAGAUGUUUUGUUACUCUGUCAGACAAGCCUCCCAGUUUUGGCGCUGAGACUUCUCAAAUCUCACUUGCUGUCAGGGCAGAGAGGAUUUCUUCUUUCUGUAGAAACAUUAUAUUUUACUGAGCAUUUACAGAGCCUUGGGGACAAGCUCAGAGCCGAGGGGAUUUAUCCCAGCUCUGCUGCCUACCCCAGAGCCCAGGGAGUUGACCCAGGGAACAUCCAUCCCACUUUCUGUUUUACAAAAAAAAAAAAAAAAAAAAAAAGGAGGAGGAGAUUUGGAACAACUUUUCUGGACUCGCACACACUCACCAGCCAAGACUUCUCCUACCAGCACAGCUAACCAUAUUAACGGAGAAAAAAUCUGUUGUCUCUCUCCUGUAAAACCAACUAAACGCUGUGUGACUUCCAAACGAGAGAGCUGCAGAGGCAAAACGAAGAGGGAGGAGAGAGGAGGAGAAAGGAAAGCUCUCGGAGGGCUGAAAUGCAAGGACACGUCUACUGACUUACUGUUGCAACCGAGGAAAGUGCCAUUCGACUCCAUGGCCGCCAAAGAAGGUGACGUGCAGCAGCCGAAAGGGCUUCGGGAAACAGCUGUGCCCAGAUGUUAGCUAGCUGCGGGUGGAAGCCAGACCCAGCAGGCUCCCUCUGCCCCCCGCUGCAGCGAUCCCCAACGUCAGUUCCCUUCCCCUUGGCUGCAAAGAUGUCUUCGCUAUGACUCCUCAUUUAUUUCUCUCCCGCAUCCGCGCGCCCCAUGCAUCGACUGAAGCCAAGCGCUGAGCCCCAGCGCCGUGCUGGCCCUGGCUCCUCCCCAUUAAAUCUGGCCGUCAUCGCUGCCCAGCCUCCUGCUUCUGCAGCUCUGAGCACUGCCUCUGUUUGCAGCUGGCUCCAACGCUCUGCUCCUUUGCUUUAUGCCUUCCAGAAGACGCCGAGCACCCAAAAAGACCCCGCAGUCUGUAAAUCCAAGGGAAGAGCCCAGAGCUGGAGGCAGUGCCUGGGGUUGGAAGGGCUUGAGUGCACUGGUGGGGACUUAUUUCAUGACGGGACAAACACAGCAGCAAAACAACAGGUCAGAAAUUGCCAGCGUAGAGCUGUAACCACAAACGCUCACAGAGCGGGUGCUUAAAGCAGAAGAAGGUUUGCAGCCUUCUCAUUUGAUACCAUGAAGCAGAAGCAGAAAAAACUCCUCGCUGCCUUCAGGCUUUUACUGAGCUGUUUUCCUUUGUCCUUUCCCCCUCUCUUUGUUCAGAUGUUUUAAAGGGGUGAAAGGAUAAUGCGGGGAAAAGAGGGAAGGAGAAAGAAAUGGAAUCCACAGUGGGAAAGUAAAGCUCCUACUUGAAUGGUAGAGGGAGGUUUUCAAUCAUUGUUUUGUUACUGUUUAUUUUUGUUUCUGGUUGUUUAAGUGAUCUCUAUGCAAUUGAUGCAGCUGUCAGAAGCUUCAAGUCCCUUGUUCCUCAGCAGCUGUGAGCCUGGCAGCUCCACCAACAGAAGGCAAAAGCCUCUCACUGAGUGGGACAGAUCUGAGGUGCACAUGGUGAUAAAUCCUUUGGGACUAUUUGCCCCUCCCUGCCAGAAGUCAGGCCGCUCCUUCAAGAGCCCAGUUUUCCAACACACAGGCUGCCCUAAUAUAGCAGAACUCCUCUGUGCUGGCACAAAGUGCAAGAGCAAGCAAGUGGAGAACAUACAGAGCUGACAUUUUGCUUUGUGCCCUUCAAAAGCUCAAGCUCAACCUCAACCCUACAGCCUCCACCAUCCCUUCAGACACUUUCGGAAGGACCCAGGAAGGAAUACCCCCGUUUUGCAAACACAUGGACAAGGAAAUGUUGUUUUGGGCAGGGUGAAACUUUUGGGCUGGAAGGCAGCUGGAGGCCUCCGAAAGAUUCUUGUGGAAUCUUUCAAAACAAAUCCUUCCUUAAAAGCCCUAAAGUAGGGGGAUUUCCAGAGGACACCGCCAAAACCCAUCACCCUUUCAGCUGAUGGGGAGGAGAGGUACAGAAGGGACUGUAGGAGAGGCCUGUAGAUGAGUCAGACAAACUGGAAACUCCGGUAAAGCAGUGGUGGUGAGGGCAUGAUAGUAGCUGUCAGAAGGGAGGAGAGGUAGAGAAGGGCAGUUUGAAGGUGAUGAUGGGAAACAGCAUUACAGCAAAUCCUUUUCCUUUCUCUGUACCCCACACCGCAGACUGGAUAGCAUUGCUUCACAACAGUUGCAGCACUGUAGCACCUUUCUGCCACCCUAAGCUAAGGCAUCAUUCCCCUAACUCCUUGGCACAUUUGAUGUUUUACUUGUGCUCAAGCGUUUGCAGACAGCCUUGCAUUCCUGGCAUUCAUCAGAAAGUACAGCAGUCGUCAUCAGAGCCAGUGAAACCCUGCGGCAAACACAGUGAGGCUGAGAUCAUAGAGCACAGGUCUCACCAGACCCUUGUUGCACAAGGCAGCAUUCCUUUUGGCUGCAUUUCUGCAUGCAUGCCAUGCACACUUCAUGUCCUUUUUCCUUUGCACUGCUGAAACCAAUAUAUGUGUAGAAUAGCAAUGAAACCAAGGUGGCAUGAGGAGCUACGGGGCUCCUGUAAGCUGCAGAAAUCCUGCUAAUAUAUCCUAAGAUUAAAAGAGCAAUAUAAGACUCCCAUCAGACUGAAGUCCCUGAUGCCCAUUUCAGAUCAUAGCACUCACUGUUUGCCUUCCUUGUUUGGGUUUUGGCUGAUCCAGGAGGCUCAGGGUGUUAAGGAGGAUCGACCUUUUCCCAGUUAAACCUGUAUUACAGCUGAGAGGCAAGUUUAAUAUUGGUGAUAAAAUGCAAAAUGUCAGUGUUCAUCUGGAAGCCCUAAGAAAACCAUUUGCUUUGUAACAAAAUGCAUAGAUUAGAUAGGCUACAUCUGCAUGGUCAUAUCUUUUGGUUUAUUUUUUAAAAGUCUGUCUGAAUUUCUGAAUGCUUCUUUCCUAUUCUGAAUACACCUCCUAAGCUCUGUCCACCAACCUCACAACCAGUUCUGUGGCUGUUGGUCUUUGAGACCGAACCUGGAUUUGAAGGGCAGAGUUCAGUAUAACUAAAAUUAAACAUCACCUCUCUGUGUAUGUUGUCUCCACUCACAAUCCUGCUGCUAAGGGCCAAAGUUGAAUAAACACAAUUUAUUCUGAGCAGAUCCAUCAUGGCAUCUGUAAGGUGGCAUUUCAGUGCCCUUGUUAGGCACGGACAGUUUGUCUUUCUCUGCUUUAUCGGCUUUAAAAAUUAACCUUUACAGUGAAAGUAACAAUGAGACUGUAAUUUAUUUGUUUUUUGUGGUUGCUUACUUUCCUUCUGCCCAUGCUGACUAAGCCCUAUUUAUCUCUUCAUAAAACUGCUUCCUCCAGGAUUUUACAGCAGGGGAGUUAACACGCACUGAUUGUUUCAUGGGAGGAACACACCUUUUUCAGCAGUGAAGACAAAAGGUAACAGAAAAACCCAUUUUUCCCAGAUCCCCAAAUACAUGAUAGAUGAUGAGGGCUGGAUUUAUUCUCUCUGGACCCCAAUGGGCACCACCCAUGAGCAGUGAUUUCACCGCUGAGCCCAGCUUGGUGUCUCCCAGCUUUCUGCAUGCUGCCGGUUACUAUAUUUAAUGGCUCUCCAAGACUUGGAAAGCUGCGUUAUUUCUCUGCCUUUGUUGUCAUGGAUUUUAAUCCCUAAAUCAUCCUACCAGGCUGGAGAGGAAUGUGAAGGAUCCCCAUCACUGCAGGCUUCUCCUGUCCUGCUUCUUUCUGGCCCUCCUUGGAGCUGGGCUCCUGGCUGCCAGUGGCUGCCUCAUUCCCUUCCCUAAAGGAUAAAAAGAAGUGGAAUACCACUAAAAAUUAAAGUGAUAGGAUAAGGGUAAGUAAAUCAAGGAGAGGAGCAGGCAGUUGUAGAGCUCCUCAGCCUCAGUGCACAGGGGAUGUUCUCCUUAUUCACAUGGGUUGGAGCUGUAGGAUGGGAACCAUAUGCAGAACAAUGCAUUAAAAGGAGUAUCUAGAAAUCUCAUGGGAGAGGGAGAAGAUAGGAAAGGACCCAAAGCCUACACUGCACAGUUUUAUCAGCGUGUGCAGAAAGAAACCUAGACACGACAAUGACUCAGGAAAUAAGAAACAAGCUAUUUUUUGUUCCCUUCUUCGUUUUUCACUGCCAAGAGAAACACUCCCUUGAGACUGUCAGCCAAGAGGGAGAGCACAGCUCCUGCAACCUCCUCCCCUUGGCCACAUGUGAGGGCUGAUAGAACUGAAGGGAGCUCAAAGCCCAUUUCUUAGGUCCACCAGUGAAGGGUGCGGGGAGGAUGCAUUUCUUGAGUGGGAAUCUCUGAGCAGGAAGAGACCCAAGCUGCUGUGAGAUCCUCACUGGGGCUUUGGAGAUGAGGUUCCUAGGAGGAUCAUCAAGGACCCAUUUUGGUACAUGCACUAUCUUCCCAGUCAUCAUGAAAAGCUUCUUCUAACCCCUGAAAUUCAGACUUGCACCAAUGACAACACUGGUAUCCCACAGCUCCUGAUUACAGGAGGCACAAAGGCAUUAUGAGGCCCAUUUUCCUCCACAGCCCCUCUAGUUCAGUUCUGCCACAGCUCAGACAGGCUGAAGGUCCAGAAAAGACAGCUGAGCUGUGCCACGCUCAGCUCUCAGCUGAGGAUGUUUAAAGCAGGCCUUUCUUCACACCAAUUCCUCUUUCAGCCAAAAAGACUCAACACCGAAGUCAAGAGCAACAGACAAAAGCAAUUCCAUCUCAAAUGAAUAGGAAAGCCUUCUGUGAGCACCCUACUCUUUUCUUGUCCAUCAUUUCCUGAACUCACCAAGAGGCAGAGCCAGGGCUUUCCAAGGCCUUCCCAAACUAGAACUGCCAGUUUUUAAAGAGUGCAAAGUCGUGGCCGUAACAUUUUAAUGAGGUCCAAGUCCUAAACCCAGGGCACGCCUUCAUGUAACCACUUGAUCUCUUGUUGUGUGAGUGUGGAAGAGUUCACUGUCACCAGGAAGGUGAGAUGGAGGAAUGGGCCUCCAUGUCCAACCCACCUCCAACACAUCCGCACACAGCCAUGCUAAAAUGGCUGACUGAAGUGGGGAUCUACAUGGUCAAAGAGAGCUCCUUUCCUCACACACACCUACACCCCUUUUACUCUCCUCUGUGCACACAGCCCAUUCCAGGCAGCAAAGAGCAUUUGCAGAGUUCAAAGCCAAAAAUGUUCACGAGGUUCCAUUCCACAGCAAACCAUAAACUACAGCAUACCCAAAGCAAGGUAGACCUUCACCUGACUCCGCUCUGAAAGCAUGACUCAAGUGUUUGCUGUACACAGUGGAAAGAGUAGUUCAUAAUCUCAGAGGAAUGCUACACCACCCGGUCACCAAGUAUUUCCUAUGGAGAAGAUACCUCUUGGCUCCCUCUGCCUUUCAGAUCUCACACACACCCUCCAUGUCUCUGAAAUGUUCCUGACUGCCUCUCCCAAAGAUAAAAGCUCUGUUUGCUUUGCAAGAAGGAUUCCAGAUUUCUGUCACCACAACAAGGCAGGACUGUAAGAACCACUUGGGGUCAUAUAUCCAGCAGCGAGCUACGGGUGCAACGUGGGGUUUUCUGUCAGCAGAAUUACCGAAACCAGCACCAAAUAAAUGAAUAAAUAAGUAAAUAAUACCACAUUAGACUGAGGUCAUGUAAACACCAAAGCGGCACCUGGAUUUUUCAGACACUUCCAUUAUGGCCUGGCUGUUCGUUGAACUGUUUGUUGCCAUCUCUUCCUAAUCUGUUUACUGGUUGAGGCCAUUGCCGAAGUUUAGAUGGGGUGUCAUACCAACCUCCCUACAUCCCGCCGUCAUGUCACAUGUCAAGACAAUAACAGAUGAGCAGAAAAAUGUAGAAUGAACAGAAAAAUGUAGAAUUUUCAAGUGCCUUUUGCAUUUCAAGAGCUGCUCAGGGCUCUUGGUACAUAGUCUAUGCGUCAAUUUGGGUGGCCAACCCCGUUCACCCUGAUGACUCACAUUUUGUCAUGGUAUCAUUCUUUUGUUAUCACCACUGUUUUUCUUUAGGUGUUUCACGCUGAUAAUAUGUUGCAUUCCCUGCCUGUGCAGGGCUCUGGGAUUCAAAGGACUGGUCCUGCUGCUCGGUCGGCUCCAUCAAACGUUUACUCUUGGGCAUUCUCCCAGCGCUGCCAGGUCUCUGACAACUGCUGGUGUUCCACCUCGUGAGAAGCACACUGCAGUGCGGGGAAGGGCAGCCUCACAUCUCCGCAGGAGCUGGCAGAGCUCAGCCCCAUUGGAAAUCAGCUUCCUGUAGGAGGUGAAUUGGAAAAAAUUCAGAAAUGGGAUUUAUGGCACUGAAAGAACAGCGAGAUUAUUGGGUUUGUGAAGGACUUACUGGACAAAGUAAACCACUGCAAUUUAUAAAUAAGACUGAAACGUAAUUAACACAGUGCAGUACCAUGAAGUUCAGAGAAUGGAUAGGGCAGCCAAAUUCCUUGUUUAUCACCACAGGCAGCUGUGCCAAAAUAGCUUCAGAAGGAGGUUGAUGCAUUUGAACAAUUUAUUGCAGCAGAGUAGUACAUGGCCACAGGAAAAUGAAGCUACAGAUGCUGGGAUGUGUCAAGCUGAAUCUGCUCUGGCAUAAUCCCAUACAAGUCCCAUUAAAAUUAAUGAGGUACUUCUGCUUGAGCAGAAGAUAAAUUUUACUUUCUAAGCUAGAAAUACGCCUGUCAAACUCUGUAUAUCUUAAGUGUUUGGUGAGUUUCCAACCCCCCUUUGUCCAUUCCAUACAAGUAAUCAGAACCAGCUCUAACCACCAAAUAAAUCAAUAAAUG
Molecule: long non-coding RNA, 7058 nt
Filed under: Gallus gallus (chicken)
Lineage: Eukaryota; Metazoa; Chordata; Aves; Galliformes; Phasianidae
Source: RNAcentral